Molecule: long non-coding RNA, 499 nt
Filed under: Pan troglodytes (chimpanzee)
Lineage: Eukaryota; Metazoa; Chordata; Mammalia; Primates; Hominidae
Description: long non-coding RNA NONPTRT017041
Source: RNAcentral
GAAAGGAACGCAAUAGAACAGAAUUAAUCAAAACGGGAGGCCAGGAGGAGGAGGAGGACAGGAGGGGAAAAUUGCUGGCGGGGAAGGCUUUUCCUGGUCACUGCUGUGAAAAUUAACCAGGGGUUGAAGCUACCUCAUUUUAAUUAAGUGGGCUGCCUAAAGCCUGGCCCCAACAUGAAUUUCAAGGUCACCAUGGGUGUUGUGAGAGCUUACUGCCUAAUUCACAUCUGGGAGUGGCGGGCUAGUUCUUGCCCUUCCUUUCCAUCUCUGCUCUGUUGUGACCUGAGGCGUGAAGGGGAGGCUGGGUGGCCCUGCCCUGUGCCCCUUCCAACCUCUAGACACACUCCACUCCUUCUCUCCAGUGCUGUGAACACCUCAGGGCUGGGAAGGGGCCUGGGCCCCCACUGGGACCUGCAGAAAGCACCAUUUGACUAACCAUGCCCUUCCCGCCUUUCUGCUCUUUACAGAAUGGGUUGAAUGGCUUGCAUCUGGCUUCUAA